GCUCAUCUGAUGAGCCUCUGCCUUUUGGUUCUCUUGGAACAAGACGGCAAAGAGUCACUUUGACCGUCGCGCAUACCUUAAGCGGGUCUGCCGCCUUCGUUUCUCUUUCUUCAGCGAAUGACUUUGGAUCAGCGCUCGCGCGCCGUACCGCGGCCCUUUGGGCCGCUGGCGCUCCGCGAGGGCGCGGCAUAAGCCGCGACGGCCAGCCUGCUAGUCAGAUUUGGCGGCCUUGCGAGGCUUUGCCUCGAUGUCACCAGCUCGUUACUGGCGGAGCGCGGUCUUUAGGGCUUGUAGCUCAGUUGGUUAGAGCGCGCGCUUGAUAAGCGUGAGGUCGGAGGUUCAAGUCCUCCCAGGCCCACCACUUCGCAAUCCGCAAGGGUUGUCGGAUCUCCUCUGCAUCACUUCGAGAGGUAAUAAGGGGCCGUAGCUCAGCUGGGAGAGCGCCUGCUUUGCAAGCAGGAUGUCGUCGGUUCGAUCCCGUCCGGCUCCACCACUUGCGCAAUCCCGGAGGGAUUGUCGCGGUUCGCGACGAUCCUGCGGAUCGCGCGGAGGUGUUGAGUAGAGAUGAGGUGUCGGAGAAAAAAGUCAUUCGUAAAAAGGUUUGUGGUGAGCAUCUAGCUCGCCGCUUGUUCUGUUUGACAUUGUAAAGAGAAGAUUUGUUCGAACUUCAUGAGCUUGAAAAGGUUUGUGAUUUGUCGCGGGAGACGCUCAAUCUCCCGCAUAUGAUGGGCUUGCCUAACCGCACCCUCGAACCGAUCUCGAGAAGCUGGUCUUUUUGUGCCAAUGACAUCGAAGUUGGAUCCCGCACAGGAUCUGCUUCAGGCGACAAUUCCUUUGGAAUUGCGCGGAUGCUGAUCCCGUAAGGGGUUGGCUGAAGCGACAAUCCUUUGGAUUGCGCGGGUGGGCAUUGGCAAUGAGAACGAUCAAGUGUCUUAAGGGCAAUUGGUGGAUGCCUUGGCAUGCACAGGCGAUGAAGGACGUGAUACGCUGCGAUAAGCUACGGGGAGGUGC
RNAcentral lists this unclassified non-coding RNA (1011 nucleotides) under Mesorhizobium loti. RNAcentral's name for it is "partial contains 16S-23S ribosomal RNA intergenic spacer and 23S ribosomal RNA". The stretch from base 285 to 358 matches the Rfam family "tRNA". The record is from RNAcentral. Lineage: Bacteria; Pseudomonadati; Pseudomonadota; Alphaproteobacteria; Hyphomicrobiales; Phyllobacteriaceae.